CUGCCGCCAGGGAUUGUCUGCCAAAGCCUGCGAGCGCCAGCCGAGAUCGCAGCCCAACCCAUGGCCGGGUCUCCUAGCCGCGCCGCGGGCCGGCGACUGCAGCUUCCCCUGCUGUGCCUCUUCCUCCAGGGCGCCACUGCCGUCCUCUUUGCUGUCUUUGUCCGCUACAACCACAAAACCGACGCUGCCCUCUGGCACCGGAGCAACCACAGUAAUGCGGACAAUGAAUUUUACUUUCGCUACCCAAGCUUCCAGGACGUGCAUGCCAUGGUCUUCGUGGGCUUUGGCUUCCUCAUGGUCUUCCUGCAGCGUUACGGCUUCAGCAGCGUGGGCUUCACCUUCCUCCUGGCCGCCUUUGCCCUGCAGUGGUCCACACUGGUCCAGGGCUUUCUCCACUCCUUCCACGGUGGCCACAUCCAUGUUGGCGUGGAGAGCAUGAUCAAUGCUGACUUUUGUGCGGGGGCCGUGCUCAUCUCCUUUGGUGCCGUCCUGGGCAAGACCGGGCCUGCCCAGCUGCUGCUCAUGGCCCUGCUGGAGGUGGUGCUGUUUGGCAUCAAUGAGUUUGUGCUCCUUCAUCUCCUGGGGGUGAGAGAUGCCGGAGGCUCCAUGACUAUCCACACCUUUGGUGCCUACUUCGGGCUCGUCCUUUCGCGGGUUCUGUACAGGCCCCAGCUGGAGAAGAGCAAGCACCGCCAGGGCUCCGUCUACCAUUCAGACCUCUUCGCCAUGAUUGGGACCAUCUUCCUGUGGAUCUUCUGGCCUAGCUUCAAUGCUGCACUCACAGCGCUGGGGGCUGGGCAGCAUCGGACGGCCCUCAACACAUACUACUCCCUGGCUGCCAGCACGCUUGGCACCUUUGCCUUGUCAGCCCUUGUAGGGGAAGAUGGGAGGCUUGACAUGGUCCACAUCCAAAAUGCAGCGCUGGCCGGAGGGGUUGUGGUGGGGACCUCAAGUGAAAUGAUGCUGACACCCUUUGGGGCUCUGACAGCUGGCUUCUUGGCUGGGACUGUCUCCACGCUGGGGUACAAGUUCUUCAGGCCCAUCCUUGAAUCAAAAUUCAAAGUCCAAGACACAUGUGGAGUCCACAACCUCCAUGGGAUGCCGGGGGUCCUGGGGGCCCUCCUGGGGGUCCUUGUGGCUGGACUUGCCACCCAUGAAGCUUACGGAGAUGGCCUGGAGAGUGUGUUUCCACUCAUAGCCGAGGGCCAGCGCAGUGCCACGUCACAGGCCAUGCACCAGCUCUUCGGGCUGUUUGUCACACUGAUGUUUGCCUCUGUGGGCGGGGGCCUUGGAGGGUUGUUGUGAUUACUCAGGAAAGCAAGACUAGUCAAGCACUUUGCACAGGGCCUGGCACAUAGUAGAUGCUCAACAAAUACCGCUGUGUUUUGCCUGCACAGGCAUCAUAUUGGUCUUAUGCCUCCUAGACCCCUGUGCCCUGUGGCACUGGGUGGCACCCUCCUCCAUGGUGGGGGGCAGAGAAGCCUCACAGAUCCUCCCCUACCACCACCAGGGCUCCUGCUGAAGCUACCCUUUCUGGACUCCCCCCCAGACUCCCAGUGCUACGAGGACCAAGUUCACUGGCAGGUGCCUGGCGAGCAUGAGGAUAAAGCCCAGAGACCUCUGAGGGUGGAGGAGGCAGACACUCAGGCCUAACCCACUGCCAGCCCCUGAGAGGACACGCUCCUUUUCGAAGAUGCUGACUGGCUGCUACUAGGAAGUUCUUUUUGAGCUCCCAUUCCUCCAGCUGCAAGAAGGGAGCCAUGAGCCAGAAGGAGGCCCCUUUCCACAGGCAGCGUCUCCACAGGGAGAGGGGCAGCAGGAGGCUGGGAAAUCGUGGGGAGUGGGGCCGUAACUGGGUACAAUAGGGGGAACCUCACCAGAUGCCCGACCCGACUGCCCUACCAGCCUGCACAUGGGUAGAAGAGGCCAAAUUGAGGCACCCAAGUGAUCCACUGGCCCCACGUCACACAGUUACAGUGAAGCCCAAGCCAGGCCUGGUUGAGGGUGAUAAACGCCACUGUCUCUAA
This is an RNA transcript of Pan troglodytes (chimpanzee), 2027 nucleotides long. It is a transcript of the gene named Rh family B glycoprotein, with no coding region annotated. Lineage: Eukaryota; Metazoa; Chordata; Mammalia; Primates; Hominidae. The transcript is spliced from 10 exons. The record is from RefSeq and is marked provisional.